GGACAGAAGAGCCUGGUGGGCUAUAGUUCAUGUGGUCUCAAAGAGUCAAACACAGGUGAGUGGCUGAGCAUUCAUGCUGAGUCCCUGGGAUCCAGAGGAAUACAUUUUACAGGUGACUUUUCAAUGUCUCCCACCUUUAAACCAAUGUUUAUCUUAGCAUAUUUAAUUUAUAUCCUUCCUGUACUAUUUUAAUCUGUACUUUUGCUUCUUCAUAGUGUCUCUCAUUCAAAAUACUCUAGAAAUGCAAAUCUAUAACUAACUCUUCCAAAGACUUCUUCCUUUAUACUCUAAUAUUCCAAAAGUGAAUUAUUUAAAUCUUUUGGAGGGAGCCAAUUUGACACAAUUUUAGCUAUUUCUUCCCAAGAUACCACUCUGAACCAUCUUACAAUUAUUUCUAACAGUUAGGGGAUGAAAACAUGGACACCGAACUCAGUUAGAGUCCCACUAAUGAUUAAGAGUUUAACUCCUAAUCUUAGCAUGCAAACUCCAAUAUAAUCCUUAAAAACUGUAACAAGAGCUCUGCUAUUGUCAUGUAGAAACAAACCCAAAAUACAGACAAUGGCUAAUAAUAUUUGCCUAGGAAUUUCUCUGUAUUUUAUAAGUAACAAAUAUUUGUCAAAGUUAUCACACCCUGAAAGAGUUUAUUUUCUAUUAUUUGUGCAUCAGUUUUGUUUCUUGUAUCUCUUUUACUUCUGUUAGCCAUGGAAUUACAUGCCUACUGAUGCAAGGAAACAGAACAAAGAGUCAGUUUUUUUAUUUCAGGUGAGAAUCGGCCUUCUUACUCUCAGUCAUUAGUCUUCCCAACCCAGUGGUCAGCAUUUUCAGUUAGGUAAUUCUUCAUGCUAUAAGUGGAGCUAUUUAUCGAAACUUAGCAAAUUUCUUCCUCAUGUACAAGAAAAAGUCGUCCUGGAAUAUUCUCUGCCCAUUGAAAUGUGCACUCAGGCGGUGACACGGAAAUCAGUACAGUGGAGCUAAUGAUCUGGUUCCGUUAACAAUUGCUCAUUUGGGUGGUAACAGCACAUCAUAAUGGUUGUGCAUGCAAUAUGUGAAUGAGAAUGUUCAGAUUCAAAAUCCUCCACUUUCUAUGUGACCUUGGAUGAGUCUCUCAGCAUAUAGUGAAUCAGCUUCCUCAACCAGGAAAAGUGAAGUUAAUGGGGAUAAUUUUCAAGAACCAUGAAGAGCCUGAGGUUUUACUCUACUCGCAAGAUAAAAGUUGAAGUGCUGCAUUUUCAUAGGUACUGGCAGAAGACAUGAAACUCUUAAAUCAGAGACAAAGGAUUCCAUUACUCAUAGCACAGAAGACAGUAUGAACUUCAAGUUCCCAUAGGUUUUCCUUGGGCCUUGAAUACCUUAGGGGCAGUGUGAAAAUGGGUCCAGAUAAAGUCUAUGUACACAGAAGUUUAAGUCAUAACCGAUGAAAUCUAAGCUUAGGAACCCUCUCAGUUUUCAAAGGAUUUUCUAGGAAAACUGAGCAAGCAUUGCUUAUGUGUAGACACUAUAUUAUUCUGGACAGCAAACAAAUCUACCCUCUGCCCGUGAAGGAGAUAUUAUCUCUAUCUUCAAAGGUUACUUUCUGUACUAACAUGCACUGGGAGU
Non-coding RNA from Odocoileus virginianus texanus, 1596 nucleotides. Lineage: Eukaryota; Metazoa; Chordata; Mammalia; Artiodactyla; Cervidae. The record is from RefSeq and is a predicted model, not a curated record.